RNAcentral lists this ribosomal RNA (361 nucleotides) under uncultured bacterium. RNAcentral's name for it is "bacterial SSU rRNA". It matches the Rfam family "Bacterial small subunit ribosomal RNA", at positions 135 to 507 of the family's 1533-position model. The record is from RNAcentral.
ACUUCGGGAUAAGCCUGGGAAACUGGGUCUAAUACCGGAUAGGACCAUGGACUUCACGGUUUGUGGUGGAAAGCUUUUGCGGUGUGGGAUGGGCCCGCGGCCUAUCAGCUUGUUGGUGGGGGUAAUGGCCUACCAAGGGCGACGACCGGGUAGCCGGCCUGAGAGGGUGUCCGGCCACACUGGGACUGAGAUACGGCCCAGACUCCUACGGGAGGCAGCAGUGGGGAAUAUUGCACAAUGGGCGCAAGCCUGAUGCAGCGACGCCGCGUGAGGGAUGACGGCCUUCGGGUUGUAAACCUCUUUCAAUAGGGACGAAGCGCAAGUGACGGUACCUAUAGAAGAAGCACCGGCCAACUACGUG